RNAcentral lists this ribosomal RNA (497 nucleotides) under uncultured bacterium. Its description in RNAcentral is "partial 16S ribosomal RNA". It matches the Rfam family "Bacterial small subunit ribosomal RNA", at positions 28 to 507 of the family's 1533-position model. The record is from RNAcentral.
GAUGAACGCUGGCGGCGUGCCUAAUACAUGCAAGUCGAGCGAACAGACGAGGAGCUUGCUCCUCUGACGUUAGCGGCGGACGGGUGAGUAACACGUGGAUAACCUACCUAUAAGACUGGGAUAACUUCGGGAAACCGGAGCUAAUACCGGAUAAUAUAUUGAACCGCAUGGUUCAAUAGUGAAAGACGGUUUUGCUGUCACUUAUAGAUGGAUCCGCGCCGCAUUAGCUAGUUGGUAAGGUAACGGCUUACCAAGGCAACGAUGCGUAGCCGACCUGAGAGGGUGAUCGGCCACACUGGAACUGAGACACGGUCCAGACUACUACGGGAGGCAGCAGUAGGGAAUCUUCCGCAAUGGGCGAGAGCCUGACGGAGCAACGCCGCGUGAGUGAUGAAGGUCUUCGGAUCGUAAAACUCUGUUAUUAGGGAAGAACAAAUGUGUAAGUAACUAUGCACGUCUUGACGGUACCUAAUCAGAAAGCCACGGCUAACUACGUG